Eriocheir sinensis (Chinese mitten crab) is the source of this 561-nucleotide long non-coding RNA. RefSeq lists it as uncharacterized. The record is from RefSeq and is a predicted model, not a curated record. NCBI's taxonomy places the organism in Eukaryota, Metazoa, Arthropoda, Malacostraca, Decapoda, Varunidae. The transcript is spliced from 2 exons.
CUUGGUCACUAUAACUACUGUAGGCAGACACACUUCAGAAGUGGAUCUUCAUGUGCCUGGCAAUGUCUCUCUUUGUCUUAAAGAGCUUUCCACAAACAUCACACUUGAACUCUCUAAGGCCAUAGUGCCUGAAGACAUGUCGAUCGAGUGCCUGCUUCACACUGAACCUCUUCCCGCACUCUUCACACUCAUGACUUUUUACACCAGUGUGUGUAAGGGUGUGUGUAUCAAGGUGACUCUUCCGGAUGAAUUUUUUCCCACAUUCCUUACAUUCAUAGUUCUUCACACCAGUGUGUGUAAGGGUGUGUGUAUCAAGGUGACCCUUCAGGGUGAAUAGUUUCCCACAUUCCUUACAUUCAUAGUUCUUCACACCAGUGUGUGUAAGGGUGUGUGUAUCAAGGUGACUCUUCCGGAUGAAUUUUUUCCCACAUUCCUUACAUUCAUAGUUCUUCACACCAGUGUGUGUAAGGGUGUGUGUAUCAAGGCUACCCUUCCGGUUGAAUUUUUUUCCACAUUCCUUACAUUCAUAGUUCUUCACACCAGUGUGUGUAAGGGUGUGUG